RNAcentral lists this ribosomal RNA (114 nucleotides) under Microtus ochrogaster (prairie vole). Lineage: Eukaryota; Metazoa; Chordata; Mammalia; Rodentia; Cricetidae. The record is from RNAcentral.
UUCUAUGGCCUUAAAACCCUGAAUAUACCUGGUUUCCUCUGAUCUCAGAAGCUAAGCAGGGUAAGGCCUAGUUAGUACUAGGAUGGAAGAAAUAAAGGAUGCUUAUUAUAGAUC